UACGUAGGGUGCAAGCGUUGUCCGGAAUUAUUGGGCGUAAAGAGCUCGUAGGCGGUUUGUCGCGUCUGCUGUGAAAACUCGGGGCUUAACCCCGGGCCUGCAGUGGGUACGGGGCAGACUAGAGUGCGGUAGGGGAGACUGGAAUUCCUGGUGUAGCGGUGAAAUGCGCAGAUAUCAGGAGGAACACCGGUGGCGAAGGCGGGUCUCUGGGCCGAUACUGACGCUGAGGAGCGAAAGCGUGGGGAGCGAACAGG
Molecule: ribosomal RNA, 254 nt
Filed under: uncultured bacterium
Lineage: Bacteria
Description: partial 16S ribosomal RNA
Rfam family: Bacterial small subunit ribosomal RNA
Source: RNAcentral